GAUCCUGGCUCAGGAUGAACGCUAGCUACAGGCUUAACACAUGCAAGUCGAGGGGCAGCAUUUUAGUUUGCUUGCAAACUGAAGAUGGCGACCGGCGCACGGGUGAGUAACACGUAUCCAACCUGCCGAUAACUCCGGAAUAGCCUUUCGAAAGAAAGAUUAAUACCGGAUAGCAUACGAAUAUCGCAUGAUAUUUUUUAUUUAAAGAAUUUCGGUUAUCGAUGGGGAUGCGUUCCAUUAGUUUGUUGGG
This 250-nucleotide ribosomal RNA is filed under the name uncultured bacterium. RNAcentral describes it as "partial 16S ribosomal RNA". It matches the Rfam family "Bacterial small subunit ribosomal RNA", at positions 15 to 253 of the family's 1533-position model. The record is from RNAcentral.